CCCUACUAUCUGAUAUGUCUGAAGGGUUUGCCGUAACGCGACUAUACUACGUAGGCCCCCCAUCUGCCUAGGAAUCAACUUCUCUGAUAGUAC
Molecule: long non-coding RNA, 93 nt
Organism: Aricia agestis (brown argus)
Lineage: Eukaryota; Metazoa; Arthropoda; Insecta; Lepidoptera; Lycaenidae
Exons: 3
Source: RefSeq, a predicted model, not a curated record